CCCUUUAAAGAAAGCGUAAUAGCUCACUGGACUAGUGAUCCUGCGCCGAAAAUGUAACGGGGCUAAAGAAUUGUACCGAAGCUAUGGACGCGUUUACGCGUGGUAGGAGAGCAUUGUGUUUACCGAUGAAGGCGUACCGAUAAGGAGCGCUGGAGGUCCCACAAGAGCUGAUGCUAGAAUGAGUAGCGAUAAGAAGUGUGAGAAUCACUUCCGCCGAAAAUCUAAGGGUUCCUGGGCCAGGUGACUCCGCCCAGGGUUAGUCGGAUACUAAGGCGAGGCCGAAAGGCGUAGUCGAUGUUUAACAGGUUAAUAUUCCUGUACUUAGUAAUGUUCGCUUGACACGAAGGAGUGACGGAGAAAGGUAGCAAAGCCAACUGUUGGAUGUUGGUUUAAGCGAGUAGGUGGGUGUCUUAGGUAAAUCCGGGACGCUAUUAACAUCGAGACGCGAAUACGAGGGCCUAGCCCGAAGUUUGUGAUCCUCUGCUUCCAAGAAAAGCUUCGCGUGGAGAAUAUUAUUAAUCCGUACCGUAAACCGACACAGGUAGAUGAGGAGAGAAUCCUCAGGCGCUUGGGAAAACUCCAGUUAAGGAACUCUGCAAAUUGGUGCCGUAACUUUGGGAUAAGGCACGCCUUUGUUGGUGACACCGCUUGCCGGUGAAGCUGAUGGAGGCCGCAGUGAAGAGGGGGUAGCGACUGUUUAUCAAAAACAUAGGUCUAUGCGAACACGUAAGUGGAUGUAUAUGGACUGACGCCUGCCCGGUGCUCGAAGGUUAAAAGGAGGGGUUAUCGUUUCGGCGAGAAGCUCUGAAUUGAAGUCCGAGUAAACGGCGGCCGUAACUAUAACGGUCCUAAGGUAGCGAAAUUCCUAGUCGGGUAAGUUCCGACCUGCACGAAUGGCGUAACGACUUCCCCACUGUCUCAACUGGAGGCCCAGCGAAAUUGGAGUGCGCGUGCAGAUACGCGCUACCCGCAGAAGGACGAAAAGACCCCGUGAACCUUUACUGUAGCUUGGCAUUGGGUUUCGAAUAACAUUGCGUAGGAUAGGUGGGAGUUUUUGAUCCGUGCGUUCCGGCGUACGGGGAGACAUCCUUGAAAUACCACCCUAUGUUAUUUGGAAUCCUAACCUACUGUCGUUAUCCGGCAGGGGGACAAUGUCUGGUGGGCAGUUUGACUGGGGCGGUCGCCUCCUAAACAGUAACGGAGGCGCACGAAGGUUCCCUCAGGCCGUAUGGAAACCGGCCGUAGAGUGUAAGCGCAUAAGGGAGCUUGACUGUGAGACUUACAAGUCGAGCAGGUACGAAAGUAGGUGUUAGUGAUCCGGUGGUUCCGCGUGGAAGGGCCAUCGCUCAACGGAUAA
Molecule: ribosomal RNA, 1357 nt
Filed under: marine metagenome
Description: bacterial LSU rRNA
Rfam family: Bacterial large subunit ribosomal RNA
Source: RNAcentral